GAGCUGGAGACCCUGGAGGAGCUGGUGUUGAUCCAGUUUGAGGGUCGGGGAGCUGGAGACCUGAGGAGGAGCCGGUGUUGAUCUAGUUUGAGGGUUGGGGAGCUGGAGACCCUGGAGGAGCUGGUGUUGAUCUAGUUUGAGCAUUGGGGAGCUGGAGACCCUGGAGGAGCCAGUGUUGAUCUAGUUUGAGCGUUGGGGAGCUGGAGACCCUGGAGGAGCUGGUGUUGAUCUAGUUUGAGGGUCACGGAGCUGGAGGCCUGGGGAGGAGCCAGUGUUGAUCCAGUUUGAGGGUCGGGGAGCUGGAGACCCUGGAGGAGCUGGUGUUGAUCCAGUUGGAGGGUCACGGAGCUGGAGACUGAGGAGGAGCCAGUGUUGAUCCAGUUUGAGGGUCGGGGAGCUGGAGACCCUGGAGGAGCCAGUGUUGAUCCAGUUUGAGGGUCGGGGAGCUGGAGACCCUGGAGGAGCCGGUGUUGAUCCAGUUUGAGAGUUGGGGAGCUGGAGACCCUGGAGGAGCUGGUGUUGAUCCAGUUUGAGGGUCGGGGAGCUGGAGACUCUGGAGGACCUGGUGUUGAUCCAGUUUGAGGGUCGGGGAACUGGAGACCCUGGAGGAGCUGGUGUUGAUCCAGUUUGAGGGUCGGGGAGCUGGAGACUGAGGAGGAGCCGGUGUUGAUCCAGUUUGAGGGUCACGGAGCUGGAGACUGAGGAGGAGCCGGUGUUGAUCCAGUUUGAGGGUUGGGGAGCUGGAAACCCUGGAGGAGCCGGUGUUGAUCCAGUUUGAGGGUCGGGGAGCUGGAGACCCUGGAGGAGCUGGUGUUGAUCCAGUUUGAGGGUUGGGGAGCUGGAGACCUGGGAGGAGCUGGUGGUGUUGUUCUAGUUUGAGGUUCACAGAGCUGGAGACCUGGGGAGGAGAUGGUGUUGUUCUAGUUUGAGGAUUGCAGAGCUGGAGGCCUGGGGAGGAGCCAGUGUUUUUCUAGUUUGAGGGUCCUGGACCUGGAGAUUUGAGGAGGAGCUGGUGUUGUUCUAGUUUGAGGGCUGUGGAGCUGGAGACCUGGGGAGAAGCUGGUGUUGUUCUAGUUUGAGCGUUGUGGAACUGGAGACCCAGGGAGAAGCUGGUGGUGUUGUUCUAGUUUGAAGGUGGUGGAGCUGGAGACCUGGGGAGAGGCUGGUGCUGCUGUUGUAGUUUGAGGGUCAUGGAACUGGAGGCGGGGAGGAGCCGGUGCUGUUGCGCUUCAUGUCUGAGGGUUAUAUAGCUGGAAACCCAGGGAGAAGCCGGUAUUACCGCUUUUAAAGUCUGAAGGUCGUGGAGCCUGAGGCCCAGGGAGGAGCCGGUGCUGCUCUUCAAAUGGACCCUCCCGAGGUCUCCAGCUCCAUGACCGUCAAACUACAACAGCAGCACCAGCUCCACCCUGGGUCUCCAGAUCCACGACCCGCAAACUGGAACAGCAGCACUGACUCCUCCCCGGGUCUCCAGCUCCAUGACCCUCAGACUCGUUCUAGUUUCUGUUUCAACUUUCUGUUGUCUUUUUGAGACAGGGCUCUGUUGCCUCGGCUGUAGUUUUGAACUUUGAUGUGAAGGAAUUCUCCUGGGUGGCUGCUCCUACACUGCGUUGGGUCUGAGUAUCUGCUUGAUGUCUAUUUCUGUCCUCCAUUCUCUCCCUGAGACCCACCCACAUUGACAUGGUUCAUUUUCAUUGCUGCGUGAUCUCCCGUCUCCAUUCUCUUCCUGAGACCCACCCACACUAACAUGAGUCUUUUUCAUUGCUGCACGAUCUCCCGCCGUCUGAGGGGAGCAUGGGAAAUGUCUUCAUCUUCCUGUGGACGAGAGUUCAGCCAGGCUGGGGCCCUGAGGACUGUGCUGCUGGGAAUGCUCUUGGGCCUUUCUUUUGUACACAGGUGCACAUUUCUCCUGGUCAGUAGCUUUCAGUUUUUACAAUUUCAUCCCAG
RNAcentral lists this long non-coding RNA (1944 nucleotides) under Homo sapiens (human). Its description in RNAcentral is "HSALNT0156953". The record is from RNAcentral. Lineage: Eukaryota; Metazoa; Chordata; Mammalia; Primates; Hominidae.